AUACAAAAGAAAUAUCUAAUGUAUUAGUUAACAUGUAAUAUCUAGUAGUUUACCCCAAACCAUGGAUGCUUAAAUAGGAUGUCCUUCAAUUUUGAGAACAUAGAUUAUAUUAACUUUCCCUUCAGAAUUCUUAUUAUUUCUCUACCUCCAAAACACCCAAAGCUAACCAAGUAAGCCCCAUAUGGCCACAUUUCUUUUUCGGCUUUAAAAUAGUUUCAUAUUGCAUUCUUUGAGCAUAUCCUUUACUACCGUUGAAUGCAUUGGGUAAAUUUCAACAUGAACAAAAACGAAAGCCCAAAAUAAUGAGUAAAUGGUGUACACUUUCCUACUACUAAAUAUGCAUAACACAUCCACUAGCCAAAAUGAAAUAUCCGUUCUUUAAAUUAUCAAAAGUAAAAAAACAUGAUCAAGCGAAGCACACCAAGAAAAGAAUGUCUUUAUCUUCCACAUUUUCCCCCAAGGGAAAAUUGCGCCCAUCUCCUUUGCACAUGAAGAUUAUCAUUAGUAAU
Molecule: unclassified non-coding RNA, 509 nt
Filed under: Hevea brasiliensis (rubber tree)
Lineage: Eukaryota; Viridiplantae; Streptophyta; Magnoliopsida; Malpighiales; Euphorbiaceae
Source: RNAcentral